AAACCCACUGUGCACUUCUUCAGCCUGCCCCUACUUGGGUGACUACAGGAGUCUGAGUACUACUGGUUGUAAUGGAAGUGUUGGGAGUAGCUAUCCUGCUAUUUUUCUGUUAAAACCCAUAUUUUCUUUGCCUAGAUGCUUGCUACUAACUGCUUUUUCACCUCUUGUCCACCCCUCCACCAGCCGCUUGGGGCCACCAUUUUAGACUUCAGCUGGAGCUGCAAGGAGUUAGUGAUCUUGUUUUCCAGUGACCCUAUUUGAAGUAGAAAGAACUGGAUUUUGCCAUCAUUUACACCUCAAGGAGCUGCCACAGGAGGAGGGGCCAGUGUUUGCCAGCUUGCUCUGCUCCCUGCAGCCCUCACUGGGGAGCCGCGCCACAGGAAAUGCUGAGCAGGAAUCAGACAUGAGAGCAUCGUGCUGGGUUGGUUUUGCUCUUGGAAACAGAAGGUGGAGCAAGCCACAGCUGAGACAAGUGUCAGGGUCUGCAGUGAAAGCAGGGUCCAUGCCAAGCAGGACGGAGGACUCUAAGGGGUCACAGCAGAGAGCUGCAUCCAUGGGAGCAUCCUGGAGCAACUGGCCACAUGGUGCUGACAUCCGAGAAGAUUUUUAACGUGAUUUUUCACCAUGCUGUUCGCUGCUGACACCACCUUCCUCACUGCAGGUGCAUCUACUGCUUGUGCGACAUUUUAUGCUGUCUCAUUUGGAUUGUAUCUCAAGGAGGAUUUAGAGGAGCUUGCAAGCUGGAGAUCUGCUGGCUUCCCAAAGGUUGGUUACGUACAGGACAGCUGAAGCCAGAGAGGAACAUCUGUGACCACGAUAGCUUCUUCCUUCUGCCUAGGGACUGGAAAAUCCCUGGGUCUGUCCCACUCACACGGCUGCUGAGGAAGCCAUCUUUUGUGCCUUUGAAUCUUUCACUACCCUGACAUUAUCACUGUACAUUUAACUGGCCAAGACAUAUCCUUGCCUGUGCUGUCUGUUUAGACACAUUCUAGUUUUGAAGGAUUUUUGUUCGCAUACUCUACCUCUCUUUUCGACCAUAUCAGCUAUUUCUGAUCCUCAAUGUUUUGGAUAAGUGAUAUACAUUUCUUCUGACACUUUCAUAUGUUAUUUUUAAGCUGUGUUUAUGCUUCUUGCCAACAUUUUAUCCUUGCGGUUCUUUGAAUUUUGUAUUAAAAACCCUAUGAACAAACUACACAAUUCAGAAGAUCUUUUUAAGUCAGUCACCAUCUUAGGGGAUUUCAGGCUUUUUCAUCCUGCUAAGAUACUGAAUUCAAGUAUAUUUUGGUCACUAUUAGUGAAUAACCCUUUCCUAAUAGCACUUUGAACCUCCAAUGUUGAAUUUGAAUUGGACAUCAGACAUUUGAAUUCAGCAUUUGAAUUUAUGUUGACUGAAUUUGAGUGCAGCCUGAACAUGGCCUGCACCCAGGAUCUGAGGAACUUGGGUGGCUCUAGGCUGCCUGGCUGGAGCUGUGCACUGGUUGGGAACAGCCAGGAGAUGCAUAAGAAAGUAACUGAGACUUAAACAGAGCUUGAAACAAGUUGUGUUCCUGUAUUUAACAACAUCUAAUAUACAUAAAGGGAAAUUAAAAACCGCAAACAAAUAAACCGUACCUAAAGAAAGUAAAAACUGCCCCA
RNAcentral lists this long non-coding RNA (1635 nucleotides) under Phasianus colchicus (ring-necked pheasant). RNAcentral describes it as "lncRNA (ENSPCLG00000008490.1)". The record is from RNAcentral. Lineage: Eukaryota; Metazoa; Chordata; Aves; Galliformes; Phasianidae.